AGAGUUUGAUCCUGGCUCAGAGCGAACGCUGGCGGCGCGCUUAACACAUGCAAGUCGAGCGAGAACCAGGGCUUCGGUCCUGGGGACAGCGGCGAACGGGUGAGUAACACGUGGAUAACCUGCCCUCGGCACCGGGAUAGCCCGGGGAAACCCGGAUUAAUACCGGAUAGCCCUUCCGACUCUCGAGUCGGUCCGAAAAGGUAGCUUCGGCCUCCGGCCGAGGAUGGGUCCGCGGCGGAUUAGCUUGUUGGUGGGGUAACGGCCUACCAAGGCUCCGAUCCGUAGCUGGUCUGAGAGGACGAUCAGCCACACUGGGACUGAGACACGGCCCAGACUCCUACGGGAGGCAGCAGUGGGGAAUCUUGCGCAAUGGGCGAAAGCCUGACGCAGCGACGCCGCGUGAGGGAGGAAGGCCUUCGGGUUGUAAACCUCUUUCAGGAGGGACGAAGCUACUCGGGUUAAUAGCCCAGAGGGUGACGGUACCUCCAGAAGAAGCCCCGUCUAACUACGUGCCAGCAGCGGCGGUAAUAC
This 531-nucleotide ribosomal RNA is filed under the name uncultured bacterium. Its description in RNAcentral is "bacterial SSU rRNA". It matches the Rfam family "Bacterial small subunit ribosomal RNA", at positions 8 to 526 of the family's 1533-position model. The record is from RNAcentral.